CGAGGCGAACCGGGGAAACUGAAACAUCUCAGUACCCCGAGAAAAAGAAAUCAACCGAGAUUCCCCCAGUAGCGGCGAGCGAACGGGGAGCAGCCCAGAGUCAACAUCAAUAUUUACCACAGGAGAAGGGUCUGGAAAAGCCGGCAAUAAAGGGUGAUAGCCCCGUAUCUAAAGCGGUAAGUGUUGUGAACUCGAAGAGUAAGGCGGGACACGUGUUAUCCUGUCUGAAUAUGGGGGGACCAUCCUCCAAGGCUAAGUACUCCUGACUGACCGAUAGUGAACCAGUACCGUGAGGGAAAGGCGAAAAGAACCCCGGCGAGGGGAGUGAAAUAGAACCUAAAACCGUGUACGUACAAGCAGUAGGAGCACCCGAAAGGGUGUGACUGCGUACCUUUUGUAUAAUGAGUCAGCGACUUAUAUUCUGUAGCAAGGUUAACCGCAUAGGGGAGCCGUAGGGAAACCGAGUCUUAACUGGGCGUUAAGUUGCAGGGUAUAGACCCGAAACCCGGUGAUCUAGCCAUAACGCAGGUUGAAG
Molecule: ribosomal RNA, 535 nt
Filed under: Arsenophonus endosymbiont of Bemisia tabaci
Lineage: Bacteria; Pseudomonadati; Pseudomonadota; Gammaproteobacteria; Enterobacterales; Morganellaceae
Description: partial 23S ribosomal RNA
Rfam family: Bacterial large subunit ribosomal RNA
Source: RNAcentral